RNAcentral lists this ribosomal RNA (406 nucleotides) under uncultured bacterium. RNAcentral describes it as "partial 16S ribosomal RNA". It matches the Rfam family "Bacterial small subunit ribosomal RNA", at positions 30 to 526 of the family's 1533-position model. The record is from RNAcentral.
AUUGAACGCUAGCGGCAGGCCUAACACAUGCAAGUCGAACGAGUGGCGGACGGGCGAGUAAUGUCUGGGAAACUGUCUGAUGGAGGGGGAUAACUACUGGAAACGGUAGCUAAUACCGCAUACUAUCGGAUGUGCCCAGAGGGGAUUAGCUAGUAGGGGGGGUAACGGCUCACCGAGGCGACGAUCCCUAGCUGGUCUGAGAGGAUGACCAGCCACACUGGAACUGAGACACGGUCCAGACUCCUACGGGAGGCAGCAGUGGGGAAUAUUGCACAAUGGGCGCAAGCCUGAUGCAGCCAUGCCGCGUGUAUGAAGAAGGCCUUCGGGUUGUAAAGUACUUUCAGCGGGGAGGCGUUACUCGCAGAAAAAGCACCGGCUAACUCCGUGCCAGCAGCCGCGGUAAUUC